Molecule: long non-coding RNA, 2075 nt
Filed under: Mus musculus (house mouse)
Lineage: Eukaryota; Metazoa; Chordata; Mammalia; Rodentia; Muridae
Description: predicted gene, 57177
Source: RNAcentral
AGACUUCCUGGAGAAGGCACAGCUGAGUGGAGCUCCUAGAGAAGACAGCCAGGCAAACACAUGCAUUUUAAACAGGAUGGGUGGGAAGCUGAGUGAGUGAAGGCAGAUAGUCCAUGGAGAAGCUGUGCACAGACCAGUCACCUUGGCAGUAACAGAGUCUUCUGUUUAUUCUGAGAGCACCUGGAGCCAGGGAAGGUGAGAUGUCAUUAGAUGGUAGCAUUUUGAAAAGGAUCCUGCUUAAGUAGGGUAUGAGGAACAGAUUCGAAGAGUCCAGACUAAGAACUGAGGAGUGGUAGAAACCGUAACAGUGGGUGUGGAAAGGGAAUUAACAAACCAGAGGACCAACCAUUUGAGAACAAACCAGGCAAGACUUGCUUCUGAGUUGGAUAUUGGGAAUACAGAGCAGAGGAAAAGAGGGCAUGGAGAGCUCCAGGGCAGGUUUGCAGAACAAGGUCAUUUUGGUCAAGCAGAGUUGGAGUGUCUUUGAGACAUUCCAGAAAAACACCAAAUUAAGUUGGAUGUGUGAGGAUACCUAUAAUGCAGAGGUCAGAUGAGUGUAGGACGUCCACAUACUAUUGGGCAAUGAAGACAGCACUGUGGAUGCAGAUAUGGAAGGAGGUAUUGUUUUCUGUACAGUGGACACGGUGGUGGGCUUCGGGAGGAAGGCUUAUUUCUAACUGAAUGGGCCCUCUCCUGUGAACCAGGGUAUGGAAAGAAACAUUGUUUUUGAAGGAAUAGAUGUCAAGUAUAGAAAGGGAAGGAGUUCCUGAUGGAGCUUGAUGGGUUAGCAUCUUCCACUGUCUCUGUGGGUACAGUCAGCUCUGGAAGACACUGGUGCUCUGAGGACUGUUUACAGCACUGUCACCACACAGUCUUUUCAGGCUCUCUCAGUUCAGUGAGCUCUUCUCACGGAUGAAUCCAGGUAACGGUUCACUGUGUACACUGUUGUCUUCUAUGAGAUGUGCUCUUGUCUCUCAGAAACAACUGUUAUAAAACAGUGUAGUCAUAUAUGUGAGAUGUCUAAAGUCAGAGCUUGGUUACUUAAGGAGCCACAGAUUCCCAGGAUGCAGAAUCACCGAGGGAUAAGGGGAUGGUCCACAGAUUGUAAUGCCCCAAAGAACGGAGGCUCACAAAUUCCAUGACUGCUAACAUUUGGUUCAGGGCCUUUUCAGCCUGUGGAAGUGCCCAAUGGUUGAGGAAACAGAAGAAUUGUUCUACAGCCUCCUAGCUUCACAUGGAGUCAGAGACCUUACCGUAGCAGCAGUAGCAGCUGCACCACACCAACUUCUUCAGCAGACCCCGUGCUCAGAACCUGCAUUUCAACAGGUUGCUGUUGUUGUUUGUUUGGUAAAGAUUUACUUAUUUAUUAUAUGUAAGUACACUGUAGCUGUCAUCAGACACCAGAAGAGGGAAUCAGGUCUUGUUACAGAUGGUUGUGAGUUACCAUGUGGUUGCUGGGAUUUGAACUCAGGACCUUCAGAAGAACAGUCAGUGCUCUUAACCGCUGAGCCAUCUCUCCAGCCCCCCGUGAUUCUUUUUUAAAAUUUAAAAUUACAGUUUAUAAUUUUCUGUGUGUGGAUGUAGUGUGUGUGUGUGUGUGUGUGUGUGUGUGUGUGUAUUAAGCAGUGGGCAAGUUCUAAGAGUUAGUUUUCAACUUUACCCACGUGGACCCCAGUCAGACUUGGUGACAAGUUACCUGCUGACAAGGUGACUGACUUAGUUACCUGCUGAGCCAUCCCACAGGCUCCCCCUGGUGAUUGCUAAUGCACAUGAAACUUUGAGAAGCAUGACUCAGCAGGUCUGGUGUGGUGGAUAAAGGGAAGGAUAGCAGCCAGAGAAGGAACACUGCACGUUAGGAUGUAAGAGAGGACCCCAUAAGAGAUGGCCAGGAUCCAAAAAGCUGAGUAGAAGGGAAAGGAGAUGUGAGAUCACAGGCAGAAUACUGAGAAACUAUUAGCCAAAGAAGGCCUACUGACCUCCUUCUCCAGGAGGAGAGAAGGUUUAAGCCAGAUGAUGAUGAUGACAGUAACUUCGUUGACUCAGGAGCUCUACAUUAAAUGACAUUUCACAACUGU